Photinus pyralis (common eastern firefly) is the source of this 585-nucleotide long non-coding RNA. RefSeq lists it as uncharacterized. The transcript has 2 exons. The record is from RefSeq and is a predicted model, not a curated record. Lineage: Eukaryota; Metazoa; Arthropoda; Insecta; Coleoptera; Lampyridae.
GCUUCUGCUACACAGACACAUAACAAGAAAUCGCACGAUGUUUAGUUCAUGUAGAAAAAUAGCGGCAUCUUUUACCAUAUUGGUUCUUCUGAUAAGAUUAUCUGAAGUGAACUGUAUGUGUUAUAUGCAAUAUGUAAGCGAUGAAGAACGUGCUUGCGCAGAAUCAGCGAAUUUAGGUAAAACUCCGGUUUUGGAAUACUACUAUUCAAAUUCAGAGAGUCCUAAUUUUGUCAAUUAUCUGAACUGCAUCUUUUUGAAGUGGAACUUCACAACCGCCACUGGAUCAAUCUUGUUUGACAAUAUCAUCGCUUCUGACGAUCUGGCGUGGCAAAUGUCACGUAUUUGCCAGGAUGUCGUCAGUUUAAUAGAUGAACUAACAGAAGACUUUAAAAAAUCUGCAGUUUUCUGCAAGGAAAAUCCUCCAAGCGUUCUUAGCCCUUCCACUGUAAGAAAAUGCAUUUCCCAGAAUUAUAAAGCUGCCUCCGCCCACGGUUAGAAAAUAGAACUUGACUACAUUAGUAUGAAUAAAUCUACUGUGCGUACAUUGCCAAAAAAAUUAGGAAAUCGAUUAAAUAAAGCCAAUUA